RNAcentral lists this long non-coding RNA (496 nucleotides) under Homo sapiens (human). Its description in RNAcentral is "non-protein coding lnc-AHCY-4:1". Lineage: Eukaryota; Metazoa; Chordata; Mammalia; Primates; Hominidae. The record is from RNAcentral.
GUGAUAGGGAAGAUGUUUAUAAAUUCUUCUGUGGGAUCAGAGGGCAAGCCUAUUAUAACCAGAAAACUCCAAGUAUAGCAGCAAGGAUGGAUAAACAGGCUCUAUUAGGGCUAAAUCCAAAUGCUGAUUCAGACUUUAGACUAAGGGCCCUGGCCUAUUUUGAGCAGUUAAAGAUUUCCCCAGAUGCCUGGCAGGUGUGUGCAGAAGCUCUAGCCCAGAGGACAUAUAGUGAUGAUCAUGUAAAGUUUUUCUGCUUUCAAGUACUGGAACAUCAAGUUAAAUACAAAUAUUCAGAACUAACCACUGUUCAACAACAACUAAUUAGGGAGACGCUCAUAUCAUGGCUGCAAGCUCAGAUGCUGAAUCCCCAACCAGAGAAGACCUUUAUACCAAAUAAAGCCGCCCAAGUCCUCGCCUUGCUUUUUGUUGCAGAAUAUCUCACUAAGUGGCCCAAGUUUUUUUUUUGACAUUCUCUCAGUAGUGGACCUAAAUCCAA